Molecule: long non-coding RNA, 1542 nt
Organism: Astatotilapia calliptera (eastern happy)
Lineage: Eukaryota; Metazoa; Chordata; Actinopteri; Cichliformes; Cichlidae
Source: Ensembl
GAAAAGUCUUGCUCCACCUCUUGAAACUCUCUUGUGCAUUUAUGACAGUAGCAGGAGUACAGAGCACUAAUGGUGUGGUUUGGGAGAAAUCGUCUGCUACAUAAGACUUUCAGAGAUGGUGAAAGAAGAGGGCAGAACAGGAUUUAAGUCGUAUGUUUGGGUGUUUAGGCUGACAACAAGCUUACAAAGGCUGGUUACAAGAAGGGAUGGGCAUUAUAUUUCCUAUGCAAGCUGAGAUAUUUCAAAGGUAGCAGCAACAUGCUUUGUUUUGUGGAACAAAUGUAAUCGCAUGGCAGGAUGCUGUAAAAGGACCAAACUUCAGCCAGGAGAACAACUGAGAUAAUCCAUCCACAAUACAAGUGAUCUACAGAGUCACCAUGAGGACCAAAGCCAUCCUUCUUAUGUCAGUGUUUAUACUGAUACUCUUGAUUCCCGUAUCUUUUGCUACCGGCACUCAAAACUAUACUCUAGAGAACAAUACGACAUCUACUCAAACUUUAGGCUAUUCACACUCUCCCUCUGGAGCUACAAACAGCACAACAACAUCCUCCCCAACAUCCAAUUCAGUUACAACCGUUGUUCCAUCAGGUACAACAAAUACAGCUCUACCUAGCACAACUUCCUCAUCCCCCACAACCGGAAAGGCAGUGAAGAUUUGGCUUAUUGUCAUUCUGUUGGUCAUCAUGGUUUUGAUGGUGCUUGUGGCAUAUCUCCAUCACGUGUGCCAGCAGUCCGGCCAUAGCGGCUCUGUGCCCAGGUUCCUAUUAGAUGUGAGGGAGAGGCUGAGAACCUGGAUCAGGAACCUGGAGGACCACCAGGGUGUUCAGCUUUGGCCAGGGGACAAGAGACCAGCAGAGGAUGCCAUGGAGGAGGAUGCCAUGGAGGACACAGAAGGAGGACAGGCAGAUGAGGGAGAGGUGUGGAGGGGUGGAGAAGGAGCUAAUAAUGAACUAAGCAACGAGGAAAAAGGAGAACACAAGGAGGAAGACAGCGACACUUCGGAUGACUGCUCAAGUUUGGAGGGGGAUGAUCUGAGGGAGAGGGCACUAAACAGACAGAAUGAAGAGGAGGGGAACCAGAGCAAGGACAAGGAUGAGGAUGAAACGAGUACCUCAAGUGAUGAAGGUCAAAGUCAUUCAGAAGGAAUGAGUGGUGGAAAUAAAGAUGAAGAUUCUGAAGAGACUGCACUUGUAAUCUCCCCUCAGCAGGAUUUAUGUGAUGUGACUGUUUUAUAGUGAAACGAUGCAUGAGUGAAGGAGAAGAUUCUGACUGUUUUUAAUGUUACAGAGUUUAGAUAGUUACUUUAUCGACACCAAAUCAAUAAAUAAAUCAAUACAUUUGCCUUUUUCAUAGUUGUCUCUGUGCUCUACCACUGAAACUCCGAUGUAAAAAAAAACAAAACACUGUCAGUGUGUGAUGAUCUUCAAAUAAACCUUUAAAAAAAUCCUCCUCUGUCUGGAAUUAACAUGAAAUUCAGAUGGCACAAAGACAGCUUUUUUACUGAUGAGUACAUAAGUGAGGGGACUACACCUUACAAAGUUA